This 218-nucleotide long non-coding RNA is filed under the name Nicotiana benthamiana. RNAcentral describes it as "long non-coding RNA (NBEN_LNC000564)". The record is from RNAcentral. Lineage: Eukaryota; Viridiplantae; Streptophyta; Magnoliopsida; Solanales; Solanaceae.
GAAUAGGAAUGUUUUUAACUGAGGCAGCACGUAUAUUCCUGUUAUAACACUCUUCAUGCAUCUCCUUGAACAACAUCCACUGGCUUCUGUCAGGAAACUCCAGGACCCAAUCCUUUCCCCCUUUCCACAUCAUGGCAUGUGUAAAGCGAUUGGUAGAGCCAGGCUGCAAAAUGUUAUGAACUUUAUAUGAAUACUUGGUAACCCCAGAAAAUUUGACA